AACAUACUCCCUCCGUCCGAAAAUACUUGUAACCAAAAUGGAUAAAAAGGGAUGUAUCUAGAACUAAUAUACAUCUAGAUACAUUCUCUUUAAUUUAUUUUGAUGACAAGUAUUUUCGAAUGGAGGGAGUAGGUC
Molecule: non-coding RNA, 135 nt
Organism: Triticum aestivum (bread wheat)
Lineage: Eukaryota; Viridiplantae; Streptophyta; Magnoliopsida; Poales; Poaceae
Source: Rfam